GUUGGAAUGGCAGAGCUAGGCCCAAUGCAAAAGAUCUAAGCUCUUUAUACCGGGGUUCAACUCCCCUUUCCAACC
This 75-nucleotide transfer RNA is filed under the name Peltocephalus dumerilianus (big-headed amazon river turtle). RNAcentral describes it as "tRNA-Leu(UUR)". It matches the Rfam family "tRNA". Rfam says of the family: Transfer RNA (tRNA) molecules are approximately 80 nucleotides in length. Their secondary structure includes four short double-helical elements and three loops (D, anti-codon, and T loops). Lineage: Eukaryota; Metazoa; Chordata; Testudines; Podocnemididae. The record is from RNAcentral.